AAUGGACGCAAGUCUGAACCAGCCAUGCCGCGUGCAGGAUGACGGCUCUAUGAGUUGUAAACUGCUUUUGUACGAGGGUAAACCCAGAUACGUGUAUCUGGUUGAAAGUAUCGUACGAAUAAGGAUCGGCUAACUCCGUGCCAGCAGCCGCGGUAAUACGGAGGAUCCAAGCGUUAUCCGGAUUUAUUGGGUUUAAAGGGUGCGUAGGCGGCUUAGUAAGUUGGAGGUGAAAUACCGUGGCUUAACCACGGAACUGCCUCCAAUACUGUUAAGCUAGAGAGUAGUUGCUGUGGGCGGAAUGUGUAGUGUAGCGGUGAAAUGCUUAGAUAUUACACAGAACACCGAUUGCGAAGGCAGCUCACAAAGUUAUAUCUGACGCUGAGGCACGAAAGCGUGGGGAGCAAA
This 405-nucleotide ribosomal RNA is filed under the name uncultured bacterium. RNAcentral's name for it is "bacterial SSU rRNA". It matches the Rfam family "Bacterial small subunit ribosomal RNA", at positions 370 to 772 of the family's 1533-position model. The record is from RNAcentral.